This 468-nucleotide ribosomal RNA is filed under the name uncultured bacterium. RNAcentral's name for it is "partial 16S ribosomal RNA". It matches the Rfam family "Bacterial small subunit ribosomal RNA", at positions 28 to 507 of the family's 1533-position model. The record is from RNAcentral.
GACGAACGCUGGCGGCGUGCUUAACACAUGCAAGUCGAACGGAAAGGCCCUGCUUUUGUGGGGUUCUCGAGUGGCGAACGGGUGAGUAACACGUGAGUAACCUGCCCUUGACUUUGGGAUAACUUCAGGAAACUGGGGCUAAUACCGGAUAGGAGCUCCUGCUGCAUGGUGGGGGUUGGAAAGUUUCGGCGGUUGGGGAUGGACUCGCGGCUUAUCAGCUUGUUGGUGGGGUAGUGGCUUACCAAGGCUUUGACGGGUAGCCGGCAUGAGAGGGUGACCGGCCACAAUGGGACUAAGAUACGGACCAGAAUCCUACGGGAGGCAGCAGGCGAGAAUAUUGCACAAUGGGCGGAAGCCUGAUGCGACAGCGCCGCGUGCGGGAUGCCGGCCUUCGGGUUGUAAACCGCUUUCGCCUGUGACGAAGCGUGAGUGACGGUAAUGGGUAAAGAAGCACCGGCUAACUACGUG